GUUGUUGUGGCCGAGUGAUUAAGGCGAUGGACAGGAAAUCCACUGGAGUCUACCUGUGCAGGUUUCAAUCCUGCCGACAACG
RNAcentral lists this transfer RNA (82 nucleotides) under Pangasianodon gigas (Mekong giant catfish). Its description in RNAcentral is "tRNA-Ser". It matches the Rfam family "tRNA". Rfam says of the family: Transfer RNA (tRNA) molecules are approximately 80 nucleotides in length. The record is from RNAcentral. Lineage: Eukaryota; Metazoa; Chordata; Actinopteri; Siluriformes; Pangasiidae.